RNAcentral lists this long non-coding RNA (2070 nucleotides) under Equus caballus (horse). RNAcentral's name for it is "lncRNA (ENSECAG00000040616.2)". The record is from RNAcentral. Lineage: Eukaryota; Metazoa; Chordata; Mammalia; Perissodactyla; Equidae.
CUAAUCCAUCACCACAUGGAUCAUUCUCGUCUCCCCACCUUGCUUAUCUGUAACCUCCUGCCCCACCAGUGGAGGACCUGACUCUGCUGGUUGCCCUUUCAUUUUCUUCAUAGCACCAUUGGUAUGUUGAGAGGAUUAAAUGAAAUAAUUACUUCCAGUUCUGCUUCCUACCAAGAUGCUGACAAAGUAAAAUGACUGGCUCCCUCCCACAAGAUCAACUUCAGAGGAGCUACAGAGGGGAAAAGAACCCCGCCAAGUUACCUGGUAAACACCAAAUACUGAAAAAACAGAAAAGUCUGCGGCAGUGCAGCUGUCUGAACUGUUGUCUGUGAGAGGAUGGGUAUAGCCUGGGGCCGGAGGCAAUGGAGGACAAAACAGGAAAGAAACUGGUAGAGUUUGGCUUUUGCUUCUCCCCUGCCAUUCUCUUCGGACAAACUGUGCCUGUUCCUAUAGAGCAGCAACAAAGAUCUCCAGGACAUACAGAGAGAAAAAUACAAACAGAUAUUUGAAGCGUGAGAGGAUCCAAGGCCAUCUCACUCAUCUUUGUGGGCCCUGUUGCUGACUAUCAAGUGGGGCCAUUCUCUCCACAUGGUUAGUCUUUCCUUCUCCAGCAGAUUCUCCAUUUGGUCUCUCCAGCAAACUAGCCUGGACUUCUUUACAUGGUAGCUGGGUUCCUUCUUGGCAUAUGUGGAAGGCCUCAUAAGACCUGGAUUUGGAAGUUCCAGAAUGUCACUUCUACCUCAUUCUAUGGGUCAAAGCAAAUCACAGGGCCGGCCCAGAUGCAAGGGGGUUGAAUCUUGAUGGGAGGAGUAGCAAAGUCACAUUCAAAGGGGAACGGGCACAAGGAGGAAUGAUUCAUUGGGAGCCAUUUUUAGCAAUCCACAGGAGAGGCAUAAUUACAGAUAAAGAAUUAAAAAGAUAAGAAGAGAAUACCAUCAAGAGUGAAUGCCAAUUUUGAAAACUUACAUUAAUGGAUAAAUUCAAUAAAAAGCUUAAAUAGCCCUACAACUAACUAAAGAAGUUAAAACUGCAGUUAAAAAUCUUCCCAUAAAGGAAACACCAGGUCCAAAUGGGUUUAUAGACAAUGCGUUCUAACACGUUCUUCCUCGGUUCCUGGUUAAAUUAAAUAGCGGAAGGAAAGCAUGUAUAAAGAAUGUAGUCCUCCUUACUGAAAGUAACACCUAGAACCUCUGAGGUUCCCACUAUAAGUGGUGGCAGCUGUCUUUGCAGAGCCCGCUUAUUCUCCCUGAAAUAUAUCAUCCCUUAGGGUCUUUAGUCCACAUGGUCAGUCCACUGAUUCCUUGUAGCGGAAACAAGACUGGCUUGUUUCAAACAGGACUUUAUUUUAAAUGCUAGACGAUUAUAAAAGGAAAAUACCUGUCCUGCUGUAUUUCUCCAAUGUUUUCCAUCGUGUAGACGUGAGGGUGAAGAGUUCGUGAUAUCUUCAGUGUUCUGAGGCAGCAAAGUGUUCCAUCACGUUCUAAAGUCAAACUCUCAUAUUUUUCCUUAAAAGCCAUAUUGAUGCAUUUUUCUUGAUAAAAGGUGAAGUCUAUAUGGAAUUUAUUUUAAUAUUAAAGUUGUAUUUUAUUCCCAAAAUCUUCAGUGGAGGUAGAUGCUCCAGGAGGGAGCCCCACAAUUAUCCUGUGAUCAGGUGUUUUCCAGUGUGAGAAGCACAGAAGAUAAUCUGAUUUGCUCCAGACCUGGUGCAGGCCCCCGGGAACCCAGAGAUAAAGAGAUCUUGCAUAAUUUUUCCCUCUUCACCUUCUUGCCUCUCUUCACAUUUUCGGCAUAUCUGUUAAGCCCACUGCCCAGAGCCUGCUCCUACAGGUCUAGACAAGAUCUGUCUACUUUUCUAGAGCUGGCCUGCACAGUGCUGGCUUCCUGAUGGAAGAGCCACUUCUCUGUAAGGUAUGUGGGGUGACCUCAUUCAGAAAGGCCAUCUAAAUAGAGAUGUGGCUUUACUCUUUCAAACUUCAGCAGGAUAAUCAUAUUUUGAUACAACGUAACAACCUCAAUAUUUAAUGGAGAAAAAUGCACAUAUACAGUCAGGGGAGAGGAGUUCAGUUGUAC